This 2444-nucleotide ribosomal RNA is filed under the name Escherichia coli. Its description in RNAcentral is "bacterial LSU rRNA". It matches the Rfam family "Bacterial large subunit ribosomal RNA", at positions 398 to 2826 of the family's 2925-position model. The record is from RNAcentral. Lineage: Bacteria; Pseudomonadati; Pseudomonadota; Gammaproteobacteria; Enterobacterales; Enterobacteriaceae.
UGUGAGCUCGAUGAGUAGGGCGGGACACGUGGUAUCCUGUCUGAAUAUGGGGGGACCAUCCUCCAAGGCUAAAUACUCCUGACUGACCGAUAGUGAACCAGUACCGUGAGGGAAAGGCGAAAAGAACCCCGGCGAGGGGAGUGAAAAAGAACCUGAAACCGUGUACGUACAAGCAGUGGGAGCACAGAGCAAUCUGUGUGACUGCGUACCUUUUGUAUAAUGGGUCAGCGACUUAUAUUCUGUAGCAAGGUUAACCGAAUAGGGGAGCCGAAGGGAAACCGAGUCUUAACUGGGCGUUAAGUUGCAGGGUAUAGACCCGAAACCCGGUGAUCUAGCCAUGGGCAGGUUGAAGGUUGGGUAACACUAACUGGAGGACCGAACCGACUAAUGUUGAAAAAUUAGCGGAUGACUUGUGGCUGGGGGUGAAAGGCCAAUCAAACCGGGAGAUAGCUGGUUCUCCCCGAAAGCUAUUUAGGUAGCGCCUCGUGAAUUCAUCUCCGGGGGUAGAGCACUGUUUCGGCAAGGGGGUCAUCCCGACUUACCAACCCGAUGCAAACUGCGAAUACCGGAGAAUGUUAUCACGGGAGACACACGGCGGGUGCUAACGUCCGUCGUGAAGAGGGAAACAACCCAGACCGCCAGCUAAGGUCCCAAAGUCAUGGUUAAGUGGGAAACGAUGUGGGAAGGCCCAGACAGCCAGGAUGUUGGCUUAGAAGCAGCCAUCAUUUAAAGAAAGCGUAAUAGCUCACUGGUCGAGUCGGCCUGCGCGGAAGAUGUAACGGGGCUAAACCAUGCACCGAAGCUGCGGCAGCGACACUAUGUGUUGUUGGGUAGGGGAGCGUUCUGUAAGCCUGCGAAGGUGUGCUGUGAGGCAUGCUGGAGGUAUCAGAAGUGCGAAUGCUGACAUAAGUAACGAUAAAGCGGGUGAAAAGCCCGCUCGCCGGAAGACCAAGGGUUCCUGUCCAACGUUAAUCGGGGCAGGGUGAGUCGACCCCUAAGGCGAGGCCGAAAGGCGUAGUCGAUGGGAAACAGGUUAAUAUUCCUGUACUUGGUGUUACUGCGAAGGGGGGACGGAGAAGGCUAUGUUGGCCGGGCGACGGUUGUCCCGGUUUAAGCGUGUAGGCUGGUUUUCCAGGCAAAUCCGGAAAAUCAAGGCUGAGGCGUGAUGACGAGGCACUACGGUGCUGAAGCAACAAAUGCCCUGCUUCCAGGAAAAGCCUCUAAGCAUCAGGUAACAUCAAAUCGUACCCCAAACCGACACAGGUGGUCAGGUAGAGAAUACCAAGGCGCUUGAGAGAACUCGGGUGAAGGAACUAGGCAAAAUGGUGCCGUAACUUCGGGAGAAGGCACGCUGAUAUGUAGGUGAAGCGACUUGCUCGUGGAGCUGAAAUCAGUCGAAGAUACCAGCUGGCUGCAACUGUUUAUUAAAAACACAGCACUGUGCAAACACGAAAGUGGACGUAUACGGUGUGACGCCUGCCCGGUGCCGGAAGGUUAAUUGAUGGGGUCAGCGCAAGCGAAGCUCUUGAUCGAAGCCCCGGUAAACGGCGGCCGUAACUAUAACGGUCCUAAGGUAGCGAAAUUCCUUGUCGGGUAAGUUCCGACCUGCACGAAUGGCGUAAUGAUGGCCAGGCUGUCUCCACCCGAGACUCAGUGAAAUUGAACUCGCUGUGAAGAUGCAGUGUACCCGCGGCAAGACGGAAAGACCCCGUGAACCUUUACUAUAGCUUGACACUGAACAUUGAGCCUUGAUGUGUAGGAUAGGUGGGAGGCUUUGAAGUGUGGACGCCAGUCUGCAUGGAGCCGACCUUGAAAUACCACCCUUUAAUGUUUGAUGUUCUAACGUUGACCCGUAAUCCGGGUUGCGGACAGUGUCUGGUGGGUAGUUUGACUGGGGCGGUCUCCUCCUAAAGAGUAACGGAGGAGCACGAAGGUUGGCUAAUCCUGGUCGGACAUCAGGAGGUUAGUGCAAUGGCAUAAGCCAGCUUGACUGCGAGCGUGACGGCGCGAGCAGGUGCGAAAGCAGGUCAUAGUGAUCCGGUGGUUCUGAAUGGAAGGGCCAUCGCUCAACGGAUAAAAGGUACUCCGGGGAUAACAGGCUGAUACCGCCCAAGAGUUCAUAUCGACGGCGGUGUUUGGCACCUCGAUGUCGGCUCAUCACAUCCUGGGGCUGAAGUAGGUCCCAAGGGUAUGGCUGUUCGCCAUUUAAAGUGGUACGCGAGCUGGGUUUAGAACGUCGUGAGACAGUUCGGUCCCUAUCUGCCGUGGGCGCUGGAGAACUGAGGGGGGCUGCUCCUAGUACGAGAGGACCGGAGUGGACGCAUCACUGGUGUUCGGGUUGUCAUGCCAAUGGCACUGCCCGGUAGCUAAAUGCGGAAGAGAUAAGUGCUGAAAGCAUCUAAGCACGAAACUUGCCCCGAGAUGAGUUCUCCCUGACUCCUUGA